ACUCCUACGGGAGGCAGCAGUGGGGAAUAUUGGACAAUGGGCGCAAGCCUGAUCCAGCCAUGCCGCGUGAGUGAUGAAGGCCCUAGGGUUGUAAAGCUCUUUCACCGGUGAAGAUAAUGACGGUAACCGGAGAAGAAGCCCCGGCUAACUUCGUGCCAGCAGCCGCGGUAAUACGAAGGGGGCUAGCGUUGUUCGGAUUUACUGGGCGUAAAGCGCACGUAGGCGGACUAUUAAGUCAGGGGUGAAAUCCCGGGGCUCAACCCCGGAACUGCCUUUGAUACUGGUAGUCUUGAGUUCGAGAGAUGUGAGUGGAAUUCCGAGUGUAGAGGUGAAAUUCGUAGAUAUUCGGAGGAACACCAGUGGCGAAGGCGGCUCACUGGCUCGAUACUGACGCUGAGGUGCGAAAGCGUGGGGAGCAAACAGGAUUAGAAACCCGUGUAGUCCCAUGA
This 449-nucleotide ribosomal RNA is filed under the name uncultured organism. RNAcentral's name for it is "partial 16S ribosomal RNA". It matches the Rfam family "Bacterial small subunit ribosomal RNA", at positions 335 to 800 of the family's 1533-position model. The record is from RNAcentral.